This 253-nucleotide ribosomal RNA is filed under the name uncultured bacterium. RNAcentral describes it as "partial 16S ribosomal RNA". It matches the Rfam family "Bacterial small subunit ribosomal RNA", at positions 524 to 776 of the family's 1533-position model. The record is from RNAcentral.
UACGUAGGGGGCGAGCGUUGUCCGGAGUUACUGGGCGUAAAGCGCACGCAGGCGGUCUGCUAAGUUUGGAGUGACAGUGCUCGGCUUAACUGAGCAAGUGCUUCGAAAACUGACAGACUUGAGGGCUUCAGAGGGACAUGGAAUUCCGGGUGUAGUGGUGAAAUGCGUAGAUAUCCGGAGGAACACCAAAGGCGAAGGCAGUGUCCUGGGAAGUACCUGACGCUCAGGUGCGAAAGCUAGGGGAGCGAACGGG